Molecule: non-coding RNA, 124 nt
Filed under: Aotus nancymaae (Ma's night monkey)
Lineage: Eukaryota; Metazoa; Chordata; Mammalia; Primates; Aotidae
Description: U4atac minor spliceosomal RNA (ENSANAG00000000286.1)
Rfam family: U4atac minor spliceosomal RNA
About the family: U4atac is an essential component of the minor U12-type spliceosome complex which is required for removal of the rarer class of eukaryotic introns (AT-AC, U12-type). These interacting stem loops have been shown to be required for in vivo splicing.
Source: Rfam by way of RNAcentral
ACCAUCCUUUCCUCGGGGUUGCGCUACCGUCCAAUGAGCGCAUAGUGAGGCGGUAUUGCUAACCCUAAACAACACACUUGCAUCAACUAGAGCUUUGCUUUACGUCGGUGCAAUUUUUGGAAAA